Long non-coding RNA from Rattus norvegicus (Norway rat), 1671 nucleotides. RefSeq lists it as uncharacterized. NCBI's taxonomy places the organism in Eukaryota, Metazoa, Chordata, Mammalia, Rodentia, Muridae. The record is from RefSeq and is a predicted model, not a curated record.
GUUUGUUUUGGAUCCCUGGUUAGGGGAGGGGCUGAGGGCAGAAUUGUGAAGCAGCUGCAGCCAAUGGGCAAAGGGCUGGUAAGGCGUUCACUUCCUCCUUCAGUCUUUCUUGUGGCUUCGCGCGCUCAGGUUCCCACCAGGCCUUCCUUGCUCAGUUAACUAUUUCUGGAAACAUGUUCCCAGAUACACCCGAACAUCCAUGGUGAUUCUAAGUCUAAUAAGGUCCCUAAUUUCAGAACAAAAGUCUGGAUGGGAAGACAAACUCAAUUAACGAACUGAUGACAUUUUUUCAGUAAUAGAGAUGUUGAAGGCAAGGUUUUUAACAACUCUCUGUCUGUGUGUGUGAUGAUGGCAGGCCAAACAAGAAGUCGCCUAAUUGUAUAGAGGACAAGGCAGGAAUUCCCAGGGAUCACCUCUCAGGAAUGAUAUCCAAACUGGAAAGAUUUCUUCAUACAAUCUUUACUGGGUACUGUCAAUCAUAGCCAGAGACUCAAAGAAAAUAAACAUGUUGAUCAGUGAAAAUCCUAGAAGACACUAAACACAAGCAUUGCUGUUCUUUAGAGGGGAGGUGGUGAUAGAUCUAGGAACAAAGUUAGGAAAGAGCGUGAUAAAAUUAUAAACUGCUUAACCACACAGGCUAACAGUCAUGGAAAAACCCAUGUCAUGUUAAUAGCAACACUGGCAUGUUAUGUGAACAUAACAUUGCUGGUACCACUUAAAUUCUCAGUUCUUCCAGAGUGUGCAAGGGCUUCCUCUCCAAGCCACAAGUCUGAAAUUCAUGAGAUUUUGUAUUGGACACUGCUUGACAAGGGCACAGUAGCGUUUUCUUUUCCAGUAGAAGAAUUUCAUCUUCUAAAUCUAUUAUAACUGGACAAUGAAACUUGCUGAGCUGGCUAGAGUAUGAACACAUGUAACUGCUUACAUUCCUAUGUGGGUGUGAAAAGUUGGAGGAGAAAAUUACUUUCACCACACUAUACCAAGGCAACUCUUAUAACAGAAAACACUUAACUGCGGGCUUGCUUAUAGUCUAUGCAUAUUAGUCCAUUUUCGUUAUAGCAGGGAGCAUGGCAGUAUAUAGGCAGGCAUGGUGCUGGAGCAGUAGCUGAGAACUUUAUAUCCCAAUCCAUAGGUUGGCACAGGUCAAGAGAGAGAGAGACAGAUAGAGAGAGACAGAGACAGAGAGACAGAGCUUGGUCUAAAUUUUUGUCUCCCCCCCAACCCCUGGUCUAAAUUUUUGAAAUGUCAAAGCUUAGCUCUAGUGGCACAACUCCCCCAACAAGGCCACACCUCCUCUAAGAAGACCACACCUCCUUUAAGAAGACCAUACCUCCUCUAGGAAGACCACACCUCCUCUAAGAAGACCACACCUCCUCUAAGAAGACCACACCUCCCAAUUCUUUUCAACAGUCCACAGCUGGGACCCAAGCAUGAAAACUUAUGCGUCUGUGGAGGCUGAUCUCAUUCAAACAACCACACCUUCUUUAAAAAUGUAUAGUGUGUUGCCAUGUCUUCCUGAUGAUAUCUCUUGCAGAAGGGUCUCUACAAACAGCAAACGACAGCCUCUACAAACAACAAACGACAGCCUCUACAAACAACAAACGACAGCCUCUACAAACAACAAACAACAGUCUACAGAUCCUCUGUUAAUAAAUAGAUGCAGAUUUUUUCAAA